Non-coding RNA from Pristionchus pacificus, 97 nucleotides. NCBI's taxonomy places the organism in Eukaryota, Metazoa, Nematoda, Chromadorea, Rhabditida, Neodiplogasteridae. The record is from Rfam.
GCUACUCGACACGUCCCAAAUCCUCAUGAAUCCCGGUUUUGAUCACUAGUUGCAGUGAUCACCGGGAUUCUAUGAAGAUCUGGGCUUCGAGAAGGCU